UACGUAGGGUGCAAGCGUUAAUCGGAAUUACUGGGCGUAAAGCGUGCGCAGGCGGUUUUGUAAGCCAGAUGUGAAAUCCCCGGGCUUAACCUGGGAAUGGCAUUUGGGACUGUAAGGCUCGAGUGCGGCAGAGGAGACUGGAAUUCCUGGUGUAGCAGUGAAAUGCGUAGAUAUCAGGAGGAACACCGAUGGCGAAGGCAGGUCUCUGGGCUGACACUGACGCUCAUGCACGAAAGCGUGGGGAGCAAACAGG
Molecule: ribosomal RNA, 253 nt
Filed under: uncultured bacterium
Lineage: Bacteria
Description: partial 16S ribosomal RNA
Rfam family: Bacterial small subunit ribosomal RNA
Source: RNAcentral